CCUACGGGAGGCAGCAGUGGGGAAUAUUGGACAAUGGGGGGAACCCUGAUCCAGCGACGCCGCGUGAGUGAAGAAGUACUUCGGUAUGUAAAGCUCUAUCAGCAGGGAAGAAAGAAAUGACGGUACCUGACUAAGAAGCCCCGGCUAACUACGUGCCAGCAGCCGCGGUAAUACGUAGGGGGCAAGCGUUAUCCGGAUUUACAGGGUGUACAGGGAGCGUAGACGGCGAUGCAAGUCUGAAGUGAAAGGCGGGGGCCCAACCCCCGGACUGCUUUGGACACUGGAUGGCUGGAGUGCAGGGGAGGUAAGUGGAAUUCCGGGUGUAGCGGUGAAAUGCGUAGAUAUUAGGAGGAACACCAGUGGCGAAGGCGGCUUACUGGACUGUAACUGACGUUGAGGCUCGAAAGCGUGGGGAUCAAACAGGAUUAGAUACCCCGGUAGUC
Molecule: ribosomal RNA, 443 nt
Filed under: uncultured bacterium
Lineage: Bacteria
Description: partial 16S ribosomal RNA
Rfam family: Bacterial small subunit ribosomal RNA
Source: RNAcentral